Molecule: transfer RNA, 88 nt
Filed under: Helianthus annuus (common sunflower)
Lineage: Eukaryota; Viridiplantae; Streptophyta; Magnoliopsida; Asterales; Asteraceae
Description: tRNA-Leu
Rfam family: tRNA
About the family: Transfer RNA (tRNA) molecules are approximately 80 nucleotides in length. Their secondary structure includes four short double-helical elements and three loops (D, anti-codon, and T loops).
Source: RNAcentral
UGUCAGGAUGGCCGAGUGGUCUAAGGCGCCAGACUCAAGUUCUGGUCUUCGAGAGAGGGCGUGGGUUCAAAUCCCACUUCUGACAUAC